GAUUCCUCUGAUAACAUCAGCAAGCCCAGGACAACAGGCUACAAGUCUGGGGAGUGUGAAAUUCUCGGCGAGGGUCUUGGUGCCAAAGAGACGCCCCAGCAGCGGUACCAGCGGCUGCAGCACGAGGUGCAGGAGCUGUUCAGGGAGGUGGAGCAGAUCCAGGGUAAAGGCCGCCUGUAGGUAUCACCACAGGGAAAAGGAAAUGACCGCUUACAUUUCAUGAAGCGUACGUUUAGUUCCUGGUAAUUCCCUGCUUCAGAAGGACCACAGAAACAGUAAAUGGACAAAAAGGGGGCAAUUCUUCUCUAAUGAUAGCCUGGUGUACGUGCUUUUCAAUGAAACGCUAAACACGGUGCAGGCAUUACCUACCGUAUUCGCAUAUGCUUCGCUGUUCUAAUGGCAUGAGCAUUUUCCUGACUUGCUCAAACCUCUACCGUGAGUCAGUCCUCAGGGCCAAGGAGCAGAACGGCAAAUGGACGGAGCGUAGUUCAAAGCUGAGUAAAAGUACCACUGAACAAUGUACAAGCGUCGAUGCUUUAUUUGUCUAAAUAUGGUACUGAUGACUCUCAUGUAUGAAGUUACCUCACGAUUAUUAAAACGAAGAGGAGGCACAUCCAGUUCCUGGUGUGGAUCCUCUCAUCUGACCUGGGUCUCUCUUGCUGGGCACUCUCUAGUUCUUUCCAAGACUAAGAAGCUGCAGAUAAGUUACUUAGGGAACAACUAUUCUUCGUGAAGAAUGGAGAGCCCCGACAGUGCUCAGGAGAACGCCUGUUGUAUUUGCUUCACAGGGAAUAGAACAGCAGUCUUCAAAACCCGCCACUGCCUUGGAUAGCAAAGCCCCAAACUCAAGUACUUAGAAAUAUUAAUAACGGGAAUUAGUAUACCUGACAUUAGGAGGCCAUUUAUAUCUAUUUCAACUAACGUGUAGAGAUAGCUGCUAUGAUGGCUUAAGAGAGCAUUUGAAGAUCGGUACUCUGCAAAGUGUUCCAGGUAUUUACCGAUGCAGGUCCCUGUAAGCAGAUGGGGGGAUGAUCUCCUCUAUUGCCGCCACUGAUAAAAAUCACAGCUAAAAACUGUCAAAAGACAUUGAUUUACAAUCCAGGGAUUUGAAACCUAAUUUAAACCCAAACGCUAAGAUUAGGAUACGUGUCUCCCCUUUCUGUGAUUGAAAGGAAACUCCUCUGCUUUCAUGCUCGAGAGAUUUCUUGCCAAGCGCUAACUGCCUUCACAAAAUACUACACGCAGAGGCAGGAGUGAGUUAGCGCCACGUGAUGUGAGUGACGGUAAAUGGAACCGGGUCAGCCACGCCAUCUGUCUUCAGAUCUCAUAAUUUUUACAUCAGGGAUUUCUGACACCUUGGGAUGAACGGUGCGGUAUUGUAGCAAUGGCAGUAAGAACUUUCUCAGUCAUCUCCAACUCGGGCCAUAUU
Gymnogyps californianus (California condor) is the source of this 1429-nucleotide long non-coding RNA. RefSeq lists it as uncharacterized. The transcript is spliced from 3 exons. The record is from RefSeq and is a predicted model, not a curated record. Lineage: Eukaryota; Metazoa; Chordata; Aves; Accipitriformes; Cathartidae.